GAUCAUGGCUCAGAUUGAACGCUGGCGGAAUGCUUUACACAUGCAAGUCGAACGGUAGAGGGGGCAACCCUCGAGAGUGGCGAACGGGUGAGUAAUAUAUCGGAACGUGCCCAGUCGUGGGGGAUAACGUAGCGAAAGUUACGCUAAUACCGCAUACGAUCUACGGAUGAAAGCGGGGGAUCGCAAGACCUCGCGCGAUUGGAGCGGCCGAUAUCAGAUUAGGUAGUUGGUGGGGUAAAGGCUCACCAAGCCAACGAUCUGUAGCUGGUCUGAGAGGACGACCAGCCACACUGGAACUGAGACACGGUCCAGACUCCUACGGGAGGCAGCAGUGGGGAAUUUUGGACAAUGGACGCAAGUCUGAUCCAGCCAUUCCGCGUGCAGGAUGAAGGCCCUCGGGUUGUAAACUGCUUUUGUACGGAACGAAAAGGUUUCUAUUAAUACUAGGAGCUCAUGACGGUACCGUAAGAAUAAGCACCGGCUAACUACGUG
RNAcentral lists this ribosomal RNA (492 nucleotides) under uncultured bacterium. RNAcentral describes it as "bacterial SSU rRNA". It matches the Rfam family "Bacterial small subunit ribosomal RNA", at positions 15 to 507 of the family's 1533-position model. The record is from RNAcentral.